UACGUAGGGUGCGAGCGUUGUCCGGAAUUAUUGGGCGUAAAGAGCUCGUAGGCGGUUUGUCGCGUCUGCUGUGAAAGUCCGAGGCUCAACCUCGGAUCUGCAGUGGGUACGGGCAGACUAGAGUGUGGUAGGGGAGACUGGAAUUCCUGGUGUAGCGGUGGAAUGCGCAGAUAUCAGGAGGAACACCAAUGGCGAAGGCAGGUCUCUGGGCCACAACUGACGCUGAGGAGCGAAAGCAUGGGGAGCGAACAGG
RNAcentral lists this ribosomal RNA (253 nucleotides) under uncultured bacterium. RNAcentral describes it as "partial 16S ribosomal RNA". It matches the Rfam family "Bacterial small subunit ribosomal RNA", at positions 524 to 776 of the family's 1533-position model. The record is from RNAcentral.